RNAcentral lists this ribosomal RNA (200 nucleotides) under uncultured bacterium. RNAcentral describes it as "partial 16S ribosomal RNA". It matches the Rfam family "Bacterial small subunit ribosomal RNA", at positions 524 to 723 of the family's 1533-position model. The record is from RNAcentral.
UACGGAGGAUGCGAGCGUUAUCCGGAAUCACUGGGUUUAAAGGGUGCGUAGGCGGGAAAAUAAGUCAGAGGUGAAAUCUGGUCGCUUAACGAUCAAAUUGCCUUUGAAACUGUUUUUCUUGAAAUAUGAUGAGGUUGGCAGAAUGUGACAUGUAGCGGUGAAAUGCAUAGAUAUGUCAUAGAAUACCAAUUGCGAAGGCA